CUCGGGCAUAUUACACAUGAGGCACCAAACAAUCCAUCUCUUCUUUAAAGGAUGUGCAAAAUACUUAUGUUUUAAUAUGUCUUUAAGUUCCAGUGGUGAUUUCUAGGACAGAGACAAGAUACUGGAGGCUAUUUCACAUUUUUGUGAGUUAGGUCUCUUCUAACCUUAGAGACCCAGUUAAACCAGCAGCUGAAUUUGCUGGCCUAUAGUAAUGCAUGGGUUCCAUCAUGGCUCCUUAUAAACAUGGAAUAAAUCUGAAAUUCUCUACUGGAAAGAAAUUUAAUAUUUAAAGGUAAUUUGACCUGUACAUGUGUGUACAUGAAUAUUUAAUGAAACCUAUGGCAAAUGUAUUUAUAUAACAUUAAUCUGAAGAUAUUUAUUUCUUGCUCAUUUUCUAGGAUAUUAUUUCCUCAGCAAAUGCGAAGUUGCCUUCUGUACAAAUGCUCAGUUCUAAAGAUUCCUCAGGAAUGUCUUUUGUAACAUCAUCUACGUAUUUAUCCUGGAUCAUACUGCAAUGUGAAAUUACUAUACACUGGAUGACUUAAACGGUAAGCAUUUAUUUCUCUCAGUUCCAGAGGCUGGGAAGUCCAAGAACAAGGAUCUGGUAUAUCUAGGGUGCAGUGGGGACCCCUCUUUUUGGUAGCAGAUAGCUGGUUUCUUGCUGUAUCCUCACAUGGCUGAGAGGGGGAAGUUAGCUCUCAGGCCUUCUCUUAUAAGGUCUCAAACUUAUCAUGGUGGGUGGGAGGGGAUUCCACCCUGUUAACCUCAUCUGAACCUAAUUACUUCCCCCAAGCCCCAUCUCCUAAUACCAUUACUAGGGUCAGGGGUUUCAACAUGUGGAUUUUUUGGGGGACACAAACAUUCAGUCCAUAACAUUGAUGUAUACCUGAUCAUGUUUUAAGACUCAAACUAAAUGUGAUUUUCCCUUUAAAACCUUCCCUGACCACCUCACCACUAUUGUUCUCCCACAUGAUCACCUCCCACUGGAUCACUAUUGUCAAACAUCUGAUACUUGAGUCUUCACUUCCAUUAAAGCAACCUGGACAGACCUGACUAAUUGAUCAUACUACUAUCUCCUGCUGAGUCAGCUCUCUUCUCAAACAGUGCCAGACAUAGCCUCUUCUAACCAACUGGCAUUGGUACAUCCAUAAAAUCUUUUUGCCUUAUCUGCUCCUGACUGUGAUGUCCUUGAUGACAGGCAUAUCUUAUUUGUCUAUGUGCCUUAUGCUCCAGAAAUGCAUAAAAGCAUCUUCUAGAAGGUGCUUCCAGACAGACCAAUGCCUGAUGUAUACAUAAAGCAAUUUAUUCCUACCUAUCAUCUCUAUUUCAUGACAAUGGCUUCUAAUUUUCACUAGCAGAGAACAAGAAAUUUAGCUGAAUAUUGUAAUAGUUUCUCUCCAUUUUUUUCUUCUCAAUCCUGGGUUUUGUUAAGUAUAUGCAUAGCCCAUAGAUUUCCAUCAUAAACUACCAAACUGCAGUU
RNAcentral lists this long non-coding RNA (1480 nucleotides) under Sus scrofa (pig). RNAcentral describes it as "lncRNA (ENSSSCG00070017791.1)". Lineage: Eukaryota; Metazoa; Chordata; Mammalia; Artiodactyla; Suidae. The record is from RNAcentral.